RNAcentral lists this ribosomal RNA (492 nucleotides) under uncultured bacterium. RNAcentral describes it as "partial 16S ribosomal RNA". It matches the Rfam family "Bacterial small subunit ribosomal RNA", at positions 28 to 507 of the family's 1533-position model. The record is from RNAcentral.
GAUGAACGCUAGCGACAGGCUUAACACAUGCAAGUCGAGGGGAAGCGGUAUCGAAAGCUUGCUUUCGGUAGCCGGCGACCGGGGCACGGGUGAGUAAGGUGUCUCGACUCUGCCUCAUACUUGGGUAUAGCAUUGCGGAAGUAAGACUAAUGACUGGUGUUUUCAGAGUCCCGCAUGAGGCUUUGAACAAAGUUUUGUCGGUAUGAGAUGGCGACGCGUCGCAUUAGCUUGUUGGUGGGGUAACGGCCUACCAAGGCAUCGAUGGGUAGCGGUUCUGAGAGGAAGGUCCCCCACAUGGGAACUGAGACACGGACCAAAAUCCUACGGAACGCAGCGGAGAGGAACAUUAGGCAAUAGGCGGAAGCCUAAAACAGCCAAGUAGCGGGUGAGAGUACGGCCCUCCGGGUAGUAAACUGCUUUUAGUGGGGAAAAAAACAGGUCUCGUGAGCCCCCUUGCAGGUACCAUCAGAAAAAGGACCGGCUAAUUCCGUG